GGGUUGUGAGGUUAAGCGACUAAGCGUACACGGUGGAUGCCCUGGCAGUCAGAGGCGAUGAAGGACGUGCUAAUCUGCGAUAAGCGUCGGUAAGGUGAUAUGAACCGUUAUAACCGGCGAUUUCCGAAUGGGGAAACCCAGUGUGUUUCGACACACUAUCAUUAACUGAAUCCAUAGGUUAAUGAGGCGAACCGGGGGAACUGAAACAUCUAAGUACCCCGAGGAAAAGAAAUCAACCGAGAUUCCCCCAGUAGCGGCGAGCGAACGGGGAGGAGCCCAGAGCCUGAAUCAGUGUGUGUGUUAGUGGAAGCGUAUGGAAAGGCGCGCGAUACAGGGUGACAGCCCCGUACACAAAAAUGCACAUGCUGUGAGCUCGAUGAGUAGGGCGGGACACGUGGUAUCCUGUCUGAAUAUGGGGGGACCAUCCUCCAAGGCUAAAUACUCCUGA
RNAcentral lists this ribosomal RNA (448 nucleotides) under Escherichia coli. Its description in RNAcentral is "partial 23S ribosomal RNA". It matches the Rfam family "Bacterial large subunit ribosomal RNA", at positions 1 to 479 of the family's 2925-position model. Lineage: Bacteria; Pseudomonadati; Pseudomonadota; Gammaproteobacteria; Enterobacterales; Enterobacteriaceae. The record is from RNAcentral.